Molecule: transfer RNA, 76 nt
Filed under: Mogibacterium pumilum
Lineage: Bacteria; Bacillati; Bacillota; Clostridia; Peptostreptococcales; Anaerovoracaceae
Also listed under: 2 other names
Description: tRNA-Val
Rfam family: tRNA
About the family: Transfer RNA (tRNA) molecules are approximately 80 nucleotides in length. Their secondary structure includes four short double-helical elements and three loops (D, anti-codon, and T loops).
Source: RNAcentral
GGACGCUUAGCUCAGCUGGGAGAGCAUCUGCCUUACAAGCAGGGGGUCAUAGGUUCGAGCCCUAUAGCGUCCACCA